Molecule: long non-coding RNA, 1278 nt
Filed under: Bemisia tabaci
Lineage: Eukaryota; Metazoa; Arthropoda; Insecta; Hemiptera; Aleyrodidae
Description: lncRNA ENSSSA1UGG010453
Source: RNAcentral
UCACAUUUUAACUUGUUAUUGUAUUUCAAUGUCAGAUAUUUCAUUAACUUUCAUUUCAAAUUUUAAUGUCAUGUACUUUCCGAACUUUUGAAUUUAACUUGUUAAGGUAUUUUAAUAACUUUGACUUUCAUCUCGACUUUAAUGUGAUGUACUUUCCAAACUUUUGAAUUUAACUUGUUAAUGUAUUUCAAAGACUUUUAACUUUCAUUUCAAAUUUUAAUGUCAUGUACUUUCCGAACUUUGAAUUUAACUUGUUAAUGCAUUUUAAUAACUUUGACUUUCAUUCAACUUUUAAUGUCAUGUACUUUCCGAACUUUUGAAUUUAACUUGUUAAUGUAUUUUAAUAACUUCGACUUUCAUUUCGAAUUUUUAUGUGAUGUAAGUUCCGAACUUUUGAAUUUAACUUACUGAUGUAUUUUAAAAAUUUUAACUUUCAUUUCAAAUUUUAGUGUCAUGUACUUCCCGAACUUUUGAGUUUAACUUGUUAAUGUAUUUUAAUAACUUUGAACUUUCAUUUCAAAUUUUAAAAAUUCAUGUACCGAACUUUAACUAUCAUGUCAAAUUUUAGGGUAAUCUAUCUCACAAACUUUUAACUUUUAAUUCAAAAUUCAUUAUCAAUGCAAGUUCAGGACUUAACUUGAUAGUGUACUUCAAUGUCAAGUAUUUCAUUAUUUCACGAACUUUUAACUUUCAUUUCAAAUUUUAAAUGUUUAUCAUAGAAAUUCAGAAUUAUCUUCUUAGAGUACUUUAAUGUCAUGUAGUCUCUCAAACUAUAAGAAACAUCCCGCCAUCACACUUUUCUUCGGCCUGCGCCGAAAGUUGGGGGGGGAGGGGUGUGGUGAUAUGGGAUAAAUGGCAACGUUGCGGCUUGGAGGGCAACAAGGCAGAAGCCACAACACCACCUAGCCUUAUUUUCAGCGGAGAAGAGAGAUAGCGGCGGCCUGAUCGUGCGCGAGGGAGGGAGACAUGCAGUCACUGGCGCAAGUCAAACUACCCCUGUCUUCCCUCCCCCACCGACAGGCGCAGCCAGGCAACCCGGCCGAGCUCCACACAAAGGCCGGGGCCUGAAUCUCGACCGGUGACUUUUUUUUUAUGGAGCCAUUAUCACCGCCCGCAUUUUGCCGAGAGCCUAAAGCCCCCUGUGGUUCUGGAGCGUGAAACCUCGGUAAAGCGGGCGGUGAUAAUGGCUCCAUAAAAAAAAGUCACCGGUCGAGAUUCAGGCCCCGGCCUUUGUGUGGAGCUCGCCGGGUUGCCUGGCUGCGCCUGUCGGUGGGGGAG